CGCGGGGUAGAGCAGUUUGGUAGCUCGCAAGGCUCAUAACCUUGAGGUCACAGGUUCAAAUCCUGUCCCCGCAA
Molecule: transfer RNA, 74 nt
Filed under: Cordia monoica
Lineage: Eukaryota; Viridiplantae; Streptophyta; Magnoliopsida; Boraginales; Cordiaceae
Also listed under: 3 other names
Description: tRNA-fMet
Rfam family: tRNA
About the family: Transfer RNA (tRNA) molecules are approximately 80 nucleotides in length.
Source: RNAcentral